RNAcentral lists this unclassified non-coding RNA (277 nucleotides) under sea anemone metagenome. RNAcentral's name for it is "partial contains small subunit ribosomal RNA and internal transcribed spacer 1". The stretch from base 1 to 154 matches the Rfam family "Eukaryotic small subunit ribosomal RNA", at positions 1678 to 1831 of the family's 1831-position model. The record is from RNAcentral.
GCACCUACCGAUUGAAUGGUUCGGUGAAAAUCUCGGACUGCGGCUUGGAUGCCUUCGGGCAAACAAGCUGUGGAAAGUUGUUUAAACCUCAUCAUUUAGAGGAAGGUGAAGUCGUAACAAGGUUUCCGUAGGUGAACCUGCAGAAGGAUCAAGAUCGGUAGAGCACACGUCUUUACUCCUCUUACUUGGCCUUAUCUCGUAUGCCUUCUUCUCCUUGAAAAAACAUUAUAACUACUUUCUCUUCCUUUUUACGUGGUCUUCUUUUACUUCUUUCCCC